RNAcentral lists this ribosomal RNA (440 nucleotides) under uncultured bacterium. Its description in RNAcentral is "partial 16S ribosomal RNA". It matches the Rfam family "Bacterial small subunit ribosomal RNA", at positions 338 to 795 of the family's 1533-position model. The record is from RNAcentral.
CCUACGGGAGACUGCAGUAGGGAAUUUUGCGCAUUGGGCGAAAGCCUGACGCAGCAACGCCGCGUGAACGAGACGCCCUUCGGGGUGUAAAGUUCUGUCAGUGGGGACGAAAGAUGACGGUACCUGACUAAGAAGCCCCGGCUAAAUACGUGCCAGCAGCCGCGGUAAUACGUAUGGGGCAAGCGUUAUCCGGAUUUACUGGGUGUAAAGGGAGCGUAGGCGGCCUGGCAAGCCUGAUGUGAAAUACCGGGGCCCAACCCCGGGGCUGCAUUGGGAACUGCCAGGCUGGAGUGCCGGAGAGGCAGGCGGAAUUCCUAGUGUAGCGGUGAAAUGCGUAGAUAUUAGGAGGAACACCAGUGGCGAAGGCGGCCUGCUGGACGGUGACUGACGCUGAGGCUCGAAAGCGUGGGGAGCAAACAGGAUUAGAUACCCUUGUAGUC